AUGGACGUGCUGGAGCACCACGACGUGCUGUCCGACAUCCUCCGCCAUCUGCCGCCCUGCAGCCUUGCCGCCUGCCGCUGCGUGUGUGCGGCCUGGCGCGCAGCCGUUGACGACCACCGCCUGCUGCACGCCGAUCUGCUCCCGCUCUCGCUCCAUGGCGUCCUCUACCAGACCCAAGAUACGUUCAUCACCAAAAUCUUCUCCCGCACUUCCACGGCGGACCGCGUCGUCGCCGCCUUUCGUGGCCUUGACGACAAGUUGCCUGAACUUAUGGACUGCUGCAACGGCCUCCUCCUAUUCUGGCACUACGUGCUAAACCCCGCCACCCGGCAGGUGGCGCAGCUGCCCCCGCAGCCGCACCCCUGCGAGGCAAUGGACUGUACUCGUUGCUGGGAUGAUCACUACCUCAUCUAUGACACUACCGUGUCGCCACACUUCGAAGUGAUCUUGGUGCCAUACCCUCACCACGAGAUUCAGGUGUGUCAUAUCUCCAGGCAUACUUGCGGUCACGGAUCAGUCGUUUCUGCAAUGGAAUGGCCACCUUCACCCUACAUUAUGCAUGUCUUCUCCUCAAAAACGGGGUGCUGGGAGAAGAGGUCAUUCCGGCGACAGGGAGAGACCGCCGGAGCACUCGCCGACGUCAAAAUCAAACUGCCAAAUCUCUUAUGCUUUUUAUAA
This 678-nucleotide ribosomal RNA is filed under the name Triticum aestivum (bread wheat). RNAcentral describes it as "partial small subunit ribosomal RNA". Lineage: Eukaryota; Viridiplantae; Streptophyta; Magnoliopsida; Poales; Poaceae. The record is from RNAcentral.